GACGAACGCUGGCGGCGUGCCUAAUACAUGCAAGUCGAGCGGACAGAUGGGAGCUUGCUCCCUGAUGUUAGCGGCGGACGGGUGAGUAACACGUGGGUAACCUGCCUGUAAGACUGGGAUAACUCCGGGAAACCGGGGCUAAUACCGGAUGUUUGUUUGAACCGCAUGGUUCAAACAUAAAAGGUGGCUUCGGCUACCACUUACAGAUGGACCCGCGGCGCAUUAGCUAGUUGGUGAGGUAAUGGCUCACCAAGGCAACGAUGCGUAGCCGACCUGAGAGGGUGAUCGGCCACACUGGGACUGAGACACGGCCCAGACUCCUACGGGAGGCAGCAGUAGGGAAUCUUCCGCAAUGGACGAAAGUCUGACGGAGCAACGCCGCGUGAGUGAUGAAGGUUUUCGGAUCGUAAAGCUCUGUUGUUAGGGAAGAACAAGUACCGUUCGAAUAGGGCGGUACCUUAACGGUAC
This 468-nucleotide ribosomal RNA is filed under the name uncultured bacterium. RNAcentral's name for it is "bacterial SSU rRNA". It matches the Rfam family "Bacterial small subunit ribosomal RNA", at positions 28 to 478 of the family's 1533-position model. The record is from RNAcentral.